CAUGAUAUUAGGCGUCGUUGCUUCCAUCAUUGCUAUGCUGUGGUCAGUGGAAUGGGACCACAUCAUUCACUGCAACUUCAUCUUUGUCCCAAAAGCUCUGAUGACUUCUAUCUUCAGUUUUCUUUCAGGGAGCUUCGUGCUACUCGCUGUGGUGAUAUUUGCACUAAAACUUGAUCACAAGGAUGUGCAACCAUCUAAGAAAUGGGGUUUUUACUUAAGCCUCCCUGUCGUUGUCCUGUGCAUCAUGUCAGGGAUUUACAAUCUAGUGACCUACAAGUUGGCACUCUGGGGGACAGGAACAUCAACCACUCGUGUGGGCCCAGAAAUCCUCAGCCACGAAGACCUUCCACAUAUCUUAAAACAUUCCCGACCUUCCCUUCUCUGAG
Molecule: long non-coding RNA, 386 nt
Organism: Sceloporus undulatus (fence lizard)
Lineage: Eukaryota; Metazoa; Chordata; Lepidosauria; Squamata; Phrynosomatidae
Exons: 3
Source: RefSeq, a predicted model, not a curated record